ACGUACACUCCUACGGGAGGCAGCAGUGGGGAAUAUUGCACAAUGGGCGCAAGCCUGAUGCAGCCAUGCCGCGUGUAUGAAGAAGGCCUUCGGGUUGUAAAGUACUUUCAGCGGGGAGGAAGGCGAUAAGGUUAAUAACCUUGUCGAUUGACGUUACCCGCAGAAGAAGCACCGGCUAACUCCGUGCCAGCAGCCGCGGUAAUACGGAGGGUGCAAGCGUUAAUCGGAAUUACUGGGCGUAAAGCGCACGCAGGCGGUCUGUCAAGUCGGAUGUGAAAUCCCCGGGCUCAACCUGGGAACUGCAUUCGAAACUGGCAGGCUAGAGUCUUGUAGAGGGGGGUAGAAUUCCAGGUGUAGCGGUGAAAUGCGUAGAGAUCUGGAGGAAUACCGGUGGCGAAGGCGGCCCCCUGGACAAAGACUGACGCUCAGGUGCGAAAGCGUGGGGAGCAAACAGGAUUAGAAACCCGAGUAGUCCCAUG
This 479-nucleotide ribosomal RNA is filed under the name uncultured organism. RNAcentral's name for it is "partial 16S ribosomal RNA". It matches the Rfam family "Bacterial small subunit ribosomal RNA", at positions 329 to 799 of the family's 1533-position model. The record is from RNAcentral.